GGGGGAUGCGAGCGUUAUCCGGAUUUAUUGGGUUUAAAGGGUGCGUAGGCGGCAAGGUAAGUCAGCGGUGAAAGACCAGGGCUCAACUCUGGAAGUGCCGUUGAUACUGUCGGGCUAGAAUGAUUCCGCCGUGGGAGGAAUGAGUAGUGUAGCGGUGAAAUGCAUAGAUAUUACUCAGAACACCGAUUGCGAAGGCAUCUCACGAGGGGUUCAUUGACGCUGAGGCACGAAAGCGUGGGGAUCGAACAGGAUUAGAUACCCUGGUAGUCCACGCAGUAAACGAUGAUGGCUAACUGUCGGGCCUAUUGGGUUCGGCGGCCAAGCGAAAGCGAUAAGCCAUCCACCUGGGGAGU
This 353-nucleotide ribosomal RNA is filed under the name uncultured bacterium. RNAcentral describes it as "bacterial SSU rRNA". It matches the Rfam family "Bacterial small subunit ribosomal RNA", at positions 527 to 881 of the family's 1533-position model. The record is from RNAcentral.